UUAAACUAUAACUAGCAAGAAAUGAGAAACUGAUUACAUCUGCUUAUUUGGACAGUGAAUGGAACCACAUAUUCUGCCUGUUGGCAGACACCAAAUCUGUAUAGUUUAUUUUCUUCAAAGGGAAUCAUGAUUGCCAACAAUCACUCAGCACCAACAAUUUAUUGAAUGUUUAUCUGCCUGCAUUCUUCUUGUGGCUGGAAAUGUAGCACUGAACCAGACCGAGACCCUGAUCCACUGGGUAUAUAGUUGGGGGAGUCAGACAUUCAUGAAAAUGACUUAUAUAGUGCCACAGAUAUUUCAAAAGAUGGAGUAAAGAGUUCUGUGGGUCUGAAUGAUAGGGUGUGCUAACCAAAUAUGGGAAGUUGGCGAAGGUCUCCUAGAAGAAUUGGUGCAAAACUUGAGUCUCAAAGGAUAAGCUGGGUGAGGAGUUGGGCACAGUAUUCUGGGCAGUGGGAACAUCAUGGAUAGAAGCCUGGAUGCAGAGGAGAGACUGAUGCACUUGUGGACAUGAAGGAGAUCAGCGUGACUGGACUGGAGCUCACUUCCUGGUAUUUUUCACCUCAUUGCAUCCCUGGUUGGUUUCUGUUGCUUGCAAUGGAAGAACCCUAACAAAUGCAAUAAUGCAGAAGUAACAAUGAAGAUGACACUGAUUCACACAAGAUUUAAUUUGUUACAUGAGUAAAUAAACAAAGCAAAAUGAACAGAAUUUACCAUACUGCAUCCCUGCUGGGAGUGUGUUGAGUUAUCUGGACUGGAAGGGCUUUGUGACCUGUUGAAAGAAUAUACAUGGAUUUACUUCAGGAGAAAAAUAAAUAUAAAGUGUUAUUUUAAAAA
Molecule: long non-coding RNA, 834 nt
Filed under: Pongo abelii (Sumatran orangutan)
Lineage: Eukaryota; Metazoa; Chordata; Mammalia; Primates; Hominidae
Description: lincRNA
Source: RNAcentral